This 253-nucleotide ribosomal RNA is filed under the name uncultured bacterium. RNAcentral describes it as "partial 16S ribosomal RNA". It matches the Rfam family "Bacterial small subunit ribosomal RNA", at positions 524 to 776 of the family's 1533-position model. The record is from RNAcentral.
UACGGAGGGUGCAAACGUUGCUCGGAAUCAUUGGGCGUAAAGCGCGGGCAGGCGGCCCGCUCAGUCGGCCGUGAAAGCGCCGGGCUCAACUCGGCGAGGUCGGGCGAUACUGGCGGGCUCGAGGCUGGUAGAGGGCGGUGGAAUUCCGGGUGUAGUGGUGGAAUGCGUAGAGCUCCGGAGGAACACCAGUGGCGAAGGCGGCCGCCUGGGCCAGUCCUGACGCUGAGCCGCGAAAGCGUGGGGAGCGAUCCGG